Long non-coding RNA from Herpailurus yagouaroundi (jaguarundi), 3657 nucleotides. RefSeq lists it as uncharacterized. Lineage: Eukaryota; Metazoa; Chordata; Mammalia; Carnivora; Felidae. The transcript has 3 exons. The record is from RefSeq and is a predicted model, not a curated record.
GGAUAGCACCUUAGGUACCAGGAUACCAGAUCCGGGGAGUCUAGACGACUGGUUCAGACUCGGGCUCUGACCCUCCCCAGCCUGAACUGUCUCCUCUGUAAAAUGGGAUGGUUUCCAUGACAGGAGGGAAGUGAAGGGGCUCUGAAGGACACAACGCAUGACGAAGAAGUUUUGAUCAAAGCUGUUUCUCCUCCUGGUGUCAGUGCCAGUAUCCUGCUGAUCACGGAGAAGGAUGGGGAGGCCAAGGAGCCCGCCCACCAUGACCUCGGGUGUCCCGGAAGGUGACUGUGUCCCUACUUCCGAGGGCAGGAGGGAGGCAGGGAAGCUGGGACAGGGUAGGUGGUAGUUCACAGGGUGAAGGCUCUGGCCCUGGUUCUGACACCGCCUCACAGUGUGACCUCACGUGUGCCUGGCCAUCUGUGCCUCUGGACCUCCCAGCACCCUCCCAGCUCUGCCAUUGCAGUAUCUCCCAGCCUGCAGUCCUCUGAGCUGUUUUGAGAGAGAAAGAUCACUGCUGUGGGAGUUGGAGGGAGGGGCUGAAGAAUAGCCCCCAUGCACCCGGAGAUGGGAGUUUCCCUCUUCCUUUGAGCCUCGAUUUUCUUAUCUGUGGAAUGGGCAGGUUAGACUAGGUGAUCUCUAACCAUUGUCUCUUCACCCUGUCUCAGUAAAUACACACAGAGUUCAUAUUGGUGCUAACUAAACAAACAAACAUGCCUCUGCCCAACCUGGCCAGGUCUCCAGGGACAGACACUCUGGGGCACAUACAAGUGUCAGUUCUGGAUCCUGAGCUCCCCGCCCUUCUUUCUCCUUGCCAAAGCUCUCUCUCCUCUGGGUCUCCAGUGUGCUGUCUACGACGGGUCAUUUUGUCUUCGGGGGCUUCUUCUGUCUCCACCCACAGCCCUCCAUCCUCCCAAGUGAGGGAGCUGUCCACAGCUUUGUCCUUUCUAGUCCCUGUCCCCAGUGCAUGACCCACCCACAGCCAACAGCACGGGCAUAGGGCUAUUCCAUAAACAGGAGCUGGAUGAAUAUUUAAAGGGAAGUAGUAAGUAUUAUAUUAACAACUUACAUGGAUGUUGUAAUGAUCCACAGUGAAAUAUUCCCUCACCUCUUUGCGAAAUUAUCAUUCCAAACCACGGAAUACAUUAGGUUUUAUGAUCUACUCGCUUCCUUGGGGAAAUAUAAAUCUUGAAACAUCAUCUUCAUAGGACAGGGCAAAGAGUCCCCUGGGACACAAGAUGUUUAAGAACGUUAACUGAGAAUCAGAAAUAGUUUGCGAUUAAUAUCGGGGUUUUGUUUAUGGGCACAAAUAAAUCCCUGGUGUAGGGCUGACCUGUAAAAAUCUGUCCAAGAUGAAAACUCUGAUUGCAGAUGAUGGAAAUGGGGAAACAAUCUGAAUUUAAAGAGGUGAUUUGGGGUGCAGGGUUGCAGUGUUUAGGAGCUAAUAUUUUCUGACCGUAAAUUUGUAUGCUGUUCAAACAUUCCUAGUCACCCACUAAAAUAAAUAUGAUAGAGACUAGGAAUUUAUAUCAACGGUCUACAGCCAUCCAAGUUUUGUGAGUAGGUCGUGUGAAACAGGGAGGUUCUUGUUCCUAGGGUCAUUGAAAGAUCCCCCCUCAGCCCUGUUGCACCAUCACUCAGGUGAGGCCCCCGCUGUGAGAUGCUCAACGUUGGGGGGUUGUAGAGAAAGCUGUGUCAGCAUCUGGGGCCUCGGGUGACUGGAAGUAGGGGGUCCUCCUGGGAAGAGAAUUGCUUUGGGGGUGAGGAGACCCACGUGUGCCCUCUCACUCAGUAGCUCUCUGGGAGGUUAGGCAGGCUUCUUCUUUGUUUACAAUCCAUCACGGACUCCUCAUAGCUUCUCGAACAAAGUCGAACCCUCAGAAGCUCUAGCCUGGGUCAUAAAAUCCUCUGUGACUUGACUCUGCCCCUUUCUCCAGGAUCAUUUCCCAUCACACCAGGCUUUCAGGACUCAGUACGUACUCUCCACUUCUUGGUCCCUUAACCUGCAGCUUCUUCCCAGAAUAUCCUUCCUCCUUGAGCCAUUUGGUACACAAAUGGCUAUUUUUUAAAAACAGCACGAUGGUCUUCUUGUCUCUCAAGCCUUCUCAAUGGCUCCUGGGGAGAGGUAGUUUCUCCUUCCUUUGAGUUUCUGGUAAACCCUGAACAUCGCGCUCUCCCUCUGUCUUGCGACCUCCCUGUACACAGAAUUACAGAACCUACUUCCCUGCCUUACUGGUCUUGGACUUGGCCAAGGGGCUUGAUUAAACCAGUGCGAUGUGAACAGAAGAGCCAAGGCCUUAAGAGGCCAUGUGUUUUCUUUUGUGUUCUCUAGUGCUUCUUUGAUUUUCCAUGGGAAGAAUGUGUCUCUGACAGCUGCUCUCCCAAGGAGAAUAUGGAGUCACCUGGAGCCAAUCUGAAUCCAGCCCUUGUCUGGAGCCAACCCCAGCUGCCCUCAGCCUGGAGCAGAGCUGCCUUCACCAAAGCACAGACACGGUUCAUGGUCUCUCGGAGAGUUACUUCCAGUAUAUUGUUUUUCGAACUUAGCCACCAUCCACAGACAUGAGGAUGGAAAGGAAGACAGGGGUGAAUGGGAUCAGGGAACAGUGUCCCGCCACGUGGAAGACUGUGUGGACUGGCUGCAGGGUUGGGUGAGAGUCACGCCACAGUUCCACAGGCUCAAUCUAUUUUGCAAUCUCUGGGAAGCAGCCAUAGCCCCCCAAAGCCUUUGUUUUCCUGUAAAUAAACGGUGUUGGAACCAGAGGACAAUGGUGCAUCCCGUGGUGAUUGACACCAGCCACGGCUACUAAUCAGGAUGGGACUUCAUCGCCAGCUGAGUCGAGUGCAUUAUGGGGCCAUUGUUCCAACGCUGCCAGGGCAAGAACACACACAGCCAGUCACCUUCGCAAGAUGGGUUGAUUGUUCUUCAAGAUUAGACCGAGUUGCCUUAUUAUCCGUCCCAGACAACAAGGCAUCUCACCCAAACAGACGCAUGUGCAGGGAUGGCCGGUGCGCUGGCCAGAUUUGAAUUGCUAAUGUAUAAUCUGCCCGGCACAGAUGUGCAAUGAAUAUUUGGAUGUUGUUUUGCCCGUCAGUCGAAGGGGCUGAAUGGAUGAGGUGAUGAGCAUUCAGUGAUGGGUCCUGGACGUUGGCCAACAGCAGAGUUUGAGAACUUGUGCUGAUGAUAAUCAGACUACCCUGCAAAGUACCUUUGCGGUACUUUAGCAGCGAAUUCUGUUAGAGACUGGUUGGUGGAAAGUUCCCUUUCCUUUUUGGUGCAAUGAGAUGUUUUGUUAUGUGUUUCAGACUUGGAAAAUGUAUAGAAGUUGCCUUUAUCGUGCCCUCACCUACCAACACUUGAGGCUGUGAGUAAUGCCGAGCUGACUGGUUGGGUUUGAAUUCCCCGUUUUCUAGCUUAUUUGUUUAAGCUCAUUUUGCCUGUUAAAAUAUGGCUGAAAAAUUCUAUCAACCAUAUAGAGCUGCUAUGAGAAUCCAAUGAGUUGAUGUACAUAGAAUAAGCCCUAGAACAGUGCCUGGCUUAAGCGUGUGCUCAACAAAUGUUAACAGUUUCCAUAUUAUUGGUCAUUUGCUUUUUCUCAAUGUUACUGUGGUCAAGUAGAUUGGAUACAUUGAAAAUAAAGUUAAACCACGUUCAUUACGUCA